RNAcentral lists this ribosomal RNA (333 nucleotides) under Alexandrium margalefii. Its description in RNAcentral is "partial Bacterial large subunit ribosomal RNA". It matches the Rfam family "Bacterial large subunit ribosomal RNA", at positions 94 to 385 of the family's 2925-position model. Lineage: Eukaryota; Dinophyceae; Gonyaulacales; Pyrocystaceae. The record is from RNAcentral.
AGACUUUGAUCCGAGGAUUUCCGAAUGGGGAAACCCGGCUGGAGGCAAGUCCAGUCACUCCCAGCUGAACACAUAGGCUGGGUAGAGGGAACGUGGGGAAGUGAAACAUCUCAGUACCCACAGGAAGAGAAAACAAAAGUGAUUCCGUGAGUAGUGGCGAGCGAAAGCGGAUGGGGCUAAACCGUAUGCGUGUGAUACCCGGCAGGGGUUGCGUGUGCGGUGUUGUGGGCCCUCUCUUGCCAUGUCUGCCGGCGUGACGCAGUGAGGUGCGGGCAUAUAGACGAACCAGUGUGGAUGCUGGACCGUAGAGGGUGAGAGUCCCGUAGUUGAAAU